ACAAACGCUGGAGAUUUUUAUCUCUUGAGGAAAGUCCAUGCUCACACAGUCUGAGAUGUCUGUAGUGUUCGUGCCUAGGGAAAAAAUAACCUAGGGUAGUUUAUACUAACGGCGGAAGAUUUUCUAAGUCUUUUAGAUAUGAAAUAUUCCAUAAAGUGCCGCAGUGACGAUGCUUUUAGAAAUAAAAGAGUGAAACGUGGUAAACCCCGCGAGUGAGAAACCCAAAAUUGGUAGGGGAGUCUUAAUGAAGGAAUUGAACGGAUUUAAGAACCAAGUAAUUGGUAGAUAAAUGUUUGUUGCCUGGAAACGGGUACAGAACAUGGCUUAUU
Molecule: RNase P RNA, 329 nt
Filed under: bovine gut metagenome
Description: Bacterial RNase P class B
Rfam family: Bacterial RNase P class B
About the family: Ribonuclease P (RNase P) is a ubiquitous endoribonuclease, found in archaea, bacteria and eukarya as well as chloroplasts and mitochondria. Its best characterised activity is the generation of mature 5'-ends of tRNAs by cleaving the 5'-leader elements of precursor-tRNAs.
Source: RNAcentral